RNAcentral lists this ribosomal RNA (510 nucleotides) under uncultured bacterium. RNAcentral describes it as "partial 16S ribosomal RNA". It matches the Rfam family "Bacterial small subunit ribosomal RNA", at positions 28 to 507 of the family's 1533-position model. The record is from RNAcentral.
GACGAACGCUGGCGGCGUGCUUAACACAUGCAAGUCGAACGAAGAGCGAAGGAAGCUUGCUUCUAUCAAUCUUAGUGGCGAACGGGUGAGUAACGCGUAAUCAACCUGCCCUUCAGAGGGGGACAACAGUUGGAAACGACUGCUAAUACCGCAUACGAUCUAAUCUCGGCAUCGAGGAUAGAUGAAAGGUGGCCUCUACAUGUAAGCUAUCACUGAAGGAGGGGAUUGCGUCUGAUUAGCUAGUUGGAGGGGUAACGGCCCACCAAGGCGAUGAUCAGUAGCCGGUCUGAGAGGAUGAACGGCCACAUUGGGACUGAGACACGGCCCAGACUCCUACGGGAGGCAGCAGUGGGGAAUCUUCCGCAAUGGACGAAAGUCUGACGGAGCAACGCCGCGUGAGUGAUGACGGCCUUCGGGUUGUAAAGCUCUGUUAAUCGGGACGAAAGGCCUUCUUGCGAAUAGUGAGAAGGAUUGACGGUACCGGAAUAGAAAGCCACGGCUAACUACGUG